This 262-nucleotide long non-coding RNA is filed under the name Helianthus annuus (common sunflower). RNAcentral describes it as "hypothetical non coding rna". The record is from RNAcentral. Lineage: Eukaryota; Viridiplantae; Streptophyta; Magnoliopsida; Asterales; Asteraceae.
UGAUGGCCAACUGAUGGUUCACCAACAUGACCAUCGUACUGAUUGGCCUUCGCUUAGAAGGUGUACGUCUAGGUAGCAUUAUAUUAGACCAUGAAACAAAAUAAGUCGGAAAAAAGGUUAGGAAAGAUGAUGCUAAAGUAACAAAAAAAGAUAGCCAAUGAAAUAAUGAAUAAUCAAGCUACAACUUUCGUGUAGGAUAGGACCAAUGAUAAGAUGAUACACAAAAACUUAAAACAACCAUUAACAACAGCACUCAAAGCAC